Melozone crissalis (California towhee) is the source of this 289-nucleotide long non-coding RNA. RefSeq lists it as uncharacterized. The transcript has 3 exons. Lineage: Eukaryota; Metazoa; Chordata; Aves; Passeriformes; Passerellidae. The record is from RefSeq and is a predicted model, not a curated record.
AUUCCCACUGUUGUAAAGGAAGUGGAAAAGCAGUUUAAUGCUGCGAAAGGAGGAGAAGCGUGUGUGUCAGAAGAAGCUGUGAGGAAAAGAGAAGAGCUUAAAAUGCUUCCAGCAGAGGAUUACCAAGAUUGCUGUGGCAAUGCAGACAAGCACUGUGGCUCGUUUUGGCUGAAGGAGGUCCAAGAAGGACAUCACAAGGUCAGCAGGAAUAACCCACCUGACCAAUGCUGCGAAUUAAAAUCAGGUCCAGAGAACAAUGCAAGCCAAGAAGGGAAAACAUCUGCAGAGA